RNAcentral lists this ribosomal RNA (162 nucleotides) under Coptis japonica var. major. RNAcentral's name for it is "5.8S rRNA". It matches the Rfam family "5.8S ribosomal RNA". Rfam says of the family: 5.8S ribosomal RNA (5.8S rRNA) is a component of the large subunit of the eukaryotic ribosome. It is transcribed by RNA polymerase I as part of the 45S precursor that also contains 18S and 28S rRNA. Functionally, it is thought that 5.8S rRNA may be involved in ribosome translocation. The record is from RNAcentral. Lineage: Eukaryota; Viridiplantae; Streptophyta; Magnoliopsida; Ranunculales; Ranunculaceae.
AACGACUCUCGGCAACGGAUAUCUAGGCUCUCGCAUCGAUGAAGAGCGUAGCGAAAUGCGAUACUUGGUGUGAAUUGCAGAAUCCCGUGAACCAUCGAGUCUUUGAACGCAAGUUGCGCCCGAGGCCUUUAGGCCGAGGGCACGUCUGCCUGGGCGUCACGC